RNAcentral lists this ribosomal RNA (510 nucleotides) under uncultured bacterium. RNAcentral describes it as "partial 16S ribosomal RNA". It matches the Rfam family "Bacterial small subunit ribosomal RNA", at positions 28 to 507 of the family's 1533-position model. The record is from RNAcentral.
GACGAACGCUGGCGGCGUGCUUAACACAUGCCAGUCGAACGAAGAGCGAUGGAAGCUUGCUUCUAUCAAUCUUAGUGGCGAACGGGUGAGUAACGCGUAAUCAACCUGCCCUUCAGAGGGGGACAACAGUUGGAAACGACUGCUAAUACCGCAUACGAUCUAAUCUCGGCAUCGAGGAUAGAUGAAAGGUGGCCUCUACAUGUAAGCUAUCACUGAAGGAGGGGAUUGCGUCUGAUUAGCUAGUUGGAGGGGUAACGGCCCACCAAGGCGAUGAUCAGUAGCCGGUCUGAGAGGAUGAACGGCCACAGUGGGACUGAGACACGGCCCAGACUCCUACGGGAGGCAGCAGUGGGGAAUCUUCCGCAAUGGACGAAAGUCUGACGGAGCAACGCCGCGUGAGUGAUGACGGCCUUCGGGUUGUAAAGCUCUGUUAAUCGGGACGAAAGGCCUUCUUGCGAACAGUUAGAAGGAUUGACGGUACCGGAAUAGAAAGCCACGGCUAACUACGUA